This 376-nucleotide ribosomal RNA is filed under the name uncultured Phaeocystis. Its description in RNAcentral is "SSU rRNA". It matches the Rfam family "Eukaryotic small subunit ribosomal RNA", at positions 597 to 976 of the family's 1831-position model. Lineage: Eukaryota; Haptophyta; Phaeocystales; Phaeocystaceae. The record is from RNAcentral.
GCGUAUAUUAAAGUUGUUGCAGUUAAAACGCUCGUAGUCGGGUUUCGGGUCGGGCCGAGCGGUCUGCCGAUGGGUAUGCACUGUUUGGCGCGGCCUUCUUUCCGGAGACCGCGGCUACUCUUAACUGAGCGGGCGUGGGAGACGGAUCGUUUACUUUGAAAAAAUCAGAGUGUUUCAAGCAGGCAGCUCGCUCUUGCAUGGUACAGCAUGGGAUGAUUAAAUAGGACUCCGGUGCUAUUUUGUUGGUUUCGAACACCAGGAGUAAUGAUUAACAGGGACAGUCAGGGGCACUCGUAUUCCGUCGAGAGAGGUGAAAUUCUCAGACCAAUGGAAGACGAACCACUGCGAAAGCAUUUGCCAGGGAUGUUUUCACUGA